Molecule: ribosomal RNA, 492 nt
Filed under: uncultured bacterium
Lineage: Bacteria
Description: partial 16S ribosomal RNA
Rfam family: Bacterial small subunit ribosomal RNA
Source: RNAcentral
AGUGAACGCUGGCGGUAGGCUUAACACAUGCAAGUCGAACGGCAGCACAGUAAGAGCUUGCUCUUACGGGUGGCGAGUGGCGGACGGGUGAGGAAUAUAUCGGAAUCUACUUUUUCGUGGGGGAUAACGUAGGGAAACUUACGCUAAUACCGCAUAUCACCUAAGGGUGAAAGCAGGGGAUCUUCGGACCUUGCGCGAUUGAAUGCGCCGAUGUCGUAUUAGCUAGUUGGCGGGGUAAAGGCCCACCAAGGCGACGAUCCGUAGCUGGUCUGAGAGGAUGAUCGGCCACACUGGAGCUGGGACGCGGUCCAGACUCCUACGGUAGGCAGCAGUGUGGAAUGUUAGGCAAUGGUCGCAAGCCUGGUCCAGCCAUACCGCGUGGGUGGAAAAGACCUUCGGGUUGUAAAGCCCUUUUGUUGGGAAAGAAAAGCAGCAGGUUAAUACCCCGCUGUACUGACGGUACCCAAAGAAUAAGCACCGGCUAACUUCGUG